UAACGCGUGAAGUUGACCGCCUGGGGAGUACGGUCGCAAGAUUAAAACUCAAAGGAAUUGACGGGGACCCGCACAAGCGGUGGAUGAUGUGGAUUAAUUCGAUGCAACGCGAAAAACCUUACCUACCCUUGACAUGUCUGGAAUGCCGAAGAGAUUUGGCAGUGCUCGCAAGAGAACCAGAACACAGGUGCUGCAUGGCUGUCGUCAGCUCGUGUCGUGAGAUGUUGGGUUAAGUCCCGCAACGAGCGCAACCCUUGUCAUUAGUUGCUACGCAAGAGCACUCUAAUGAGACUGCCGGUGACAAACCGGAGGAAGGUGGGGAUGACGUCAAGUCCUCAUGGCCCUUAUGGGUAGGGCUUCACACGUCAUACAAUGGUCGGGACAGAGGGUCGCCAACCCGCGAGGGGGAGCCAAUCUCAGAAACCCGAUCGUAGUCCGGAUCGCAGUCUGCAACUCGACUACGUGAAGUCGGAAUCGCUAGUAAUCGCGGAUCAGAAUGUCGCGGUGAAUACGUUCCCGGGUCUUGUACACACCGCCCGUCACACCAUGGGAGUGGGUUUCACCAGAAGUAGGUAGCCUAACCGCAAGGAGGGCGCUUACCACGGUGGGAUUCAUGACUGGGGUGAAGUCGU
RNAcentral lists this ribosomal RNA (632 nucleotides) under uncultured bacterium. RNAcentral describes it as "bacterial SSU rRNA". It matches the Rfam family "Bacterial small subunit ribosomal RNA", at positions 853 to 1489 of the family's 1533-position model. The record is from RNAcentral.